GAUGAUUUCAUGAUGAGCGAACACAACUCUGAUAUCAAAAAAGUGGACACACCUGAGAAUUAUGAUGAUGUCAUCAUUAAUAGACUGAGCUCUAAAGAGGUAACAGAGAGAGUUCAGGAGGAGUAUGAUGAUGUGAUGUGAUGUGAUGUGUCAGUGAAGAUGUGAGAAACCUGUUGG
Molecule: long non-coding RNA, 177 nt
Organism: Carassius auratus (goldfish)
Lineage: Eukaryota; Metazoa; Chordata; Actinopteri; Cypriniformes; Cyprinidae
Exons: 3
Source: RefSeq, a predicted model, not a curated record